CCCUACGGGACGCAGCAGUAGGGAAUUUUCGUCAAUGGGCGCAAGCCUGAACGAGCGAUGCCGCGUGAGUAAGAAGGCCUUCGGGACGUAAAGCUCUGUUGCGGGGGAAAAAAGGCAGCAUCAGGAAAUGGGUGCUGACUGAUGGUGCCCCGCCAGAAAGUCACGGCUAACUACGUGCCAGCAGCCGCGGUAAUACGUAGGUGGCGAGCGUUAUCCGGAAUGAUUGGGCGUAAAGGGUGCGCAGGCGGUCCUGCAAGUCUGGAGUGAAACGCAUGAGCUCACCUCAUGCAUGGCUUUGGAAACUG
Molecule: ribosomal RNA, 305 nt
Filed under: uncultured bacterium
Lineage: Bacteria
Description: bacterial SSU rRNA
Rfam family: Bacterial small subunit ribosomal RNA
Source: RNAcentral